GUCGAGCGAACAGACGAGGAGCUUGCUUCUCUGACGUUAGCGGCGGACGGGUGAGUAACACGUGGAUAACCUACCUAUAAGACUGGGAUAACUUCGGGAAACCGGAGCUAAUACCGGAUAAUAUAUUGAACCGCAUGGUUCAAUAGUGAAAGACGGUUUUGCUGUCACUUAUAGAUGGAUCCGUGCCGCAUUAGCUAGUUGGUAAGGUAACGGCUUACCAAGGCAACGAUGCGUAGCCGACCUGAGAGGGUGAUCGGCCACACUGGAACUGAGACACGGUCCAGACUCCUACGGGAGGCAGCAGUAGGGAAUCUUCCGCAAUGGGCGAAAGCCUGACGGAGCAACGCCGCGUGAGUGAUGAAGGUCUUCGGAUCGUAAAACUCUGUUAUUAGGGAAGAACAAAUGUGUAAGUAACUAUGCACGUCUUGACGGUACCUAAUCAGAAAGCCACGGCUAACUACGUGCCAGCAGCCGCGGUAAUACGUAGGUGGCAAGCGUUAUCCGGAAUUAUUGGGCGUAAAGCGCGCGUAGGCGGUUUUUUAAGUCUGAUGUGAAAGCCCACGGCUCAACCGUGGAGGGUCAUUGGAAACUGGAAAACUUGAGUGCAGAAGAGGAAAGUGGAAUUCCAUGUGUAGCGGUGAAAUGCGCAGAGAUAUGGAGGA
This 662-nucleotide ribosomal RNA is filed under the name uncultured Staphylococcus sp. Its description in RNAcentral is "bacterial SSU rRNA". It matches the Rfam family "Bacterial small subunit ribosomal RNA", at positions 61 to 705 of the family's 1533-position model. The record is from RNAcentral. Lineage: Bacteria; Bacillati; Bacillota; Bacilli; Caryophanales; Staphylococcaceae.